GAGUAACGCGUGGGUAACCUGCCUUAUACAGGAGGAUAACAGUCAGAAAUGGCUGCUAAUACCGCAUAAGCGCACAGAGCUGCAUGGCUCAGUGUGAAAAACUCCGGUGGUAUAAGAUGGACCCGCGUUGGAUUAGCUUGUUGGUGGGGUAGCGGCCCACCAAGGCGACGAUCCAUAGCCGGCCUGAGAGGGUGAACGGCCACAUUGGGACUGAGACACGGCCCAGACUCCUACGGGAGGCAGCAUG
RNAcentral lists this ribosomal RNA (247 nucleotides) under uncultured bacterium. Its description in RNAcentral is "partial 16S ribosomal RNA". It matches the Rfam family "Bacterial small subunit ribosomal RNA", at positions 108 to 353 of the family's 1533-position model. The record is from RNAcentral.